This 468-nucleotide ribosomal RNA is filed under the name uncultured bacterium. RNAcentral's name for it is "partial 16S ribosomal RNA". It matches the Rfam family "Bacterial small subunit ribosomal RNA", at positions 28 to 507 of the family's 1533-position model. The record is from RNAcentral.
GACGAACGCUGGCGGCGUGCUUAACACAUGCAAGUCGAACGGAAAGGCCCUGCUUUUGUGGGGUGCUCGAGUGGCGAACGGGUGAGUAACACGUGAGUAACCUGCCCUUGACUUUGGGAUAACUUCAGGAAACUGGGGCUAAUACCGGAUAGGCGCUCCUGCUGCAUGGUGGGGGUUGGAAAGUUUCGGCGGUUGGGGAUGGACUCGCGGCUUAUCAGCUUGUUGGUGGGGUAGUGGCUUACCAAGGCUUUGACGGGUAACCGGCCUGAGAGGGUGACCGGCCACAUUGGGACUGAGAGACGGCCCAGACUCCUACGGUAGGCAGCAGUGGGGAAUAUUGCACAAUGGGCGGAAGCCUGAUGCAGCAACGCCGCGUGCGGGAUGACGGCCUUCGGGUGGUAAACCGCUUUCGCCUGUGACGAAGCGUGAGUGACGGUAAUGGGUAAAGAAGCACCGGCUAACUACGUG